This 429-nucleotide ribosomal RNA is filed under the name Bacillota bacterium. RNAcentral's name for it is "Firmicutes bacterium partial 16S ribosomal RNA". It matches the Rfam family "Bacterial small subunit ribosomal RNA", at positions 355 to 776 of the family's 1533-position model. The record is from RNAcentral. Lineage: Bacteria; Bacillati; Bacillota.
UAGGGAAUCUUCGGCAAUGGACGGAAGUCUGACCGAGCAACGCCGCGUGAGUGAAGAAGGUUUUCGGAUCGUAAAGCCCUGUUGUUAGAGAAGAACGUUGGUAGGAGUGGAAAAUCUACCAAGUGACGGUAACUAACCAGAAAGGGACGGCUAACUACGUGCCAGCAGCCGCGGUAAUACGUAGGUCCCGAGCGUUGUCCGGAUUUAUUGGGCGUAAAGCGAGCGCAGGCGGUUCUUUAAGUCUGAAGUUAAAGGCAGUGGCUUAACCAUUGUACGCUUUGGAAACUGGAGGACUUGAGUGCAGAAGGGGGGAGUGGAAUUCCAUGUGUAGCGGUGAAAUGCGUAGAUAUAUGGAGGAACACCGGUGGCGAAAGCGGCUCUCUGGUCUGUAACUGACGCUGAGGCUAGAAAGCGUGGGGAGCAAACAGG